RNAcentral lists this small nucleolar RNA (240 nucleotides) under Tinamus guttatus (white-throated tinamou). RNAcentral describes it as "Small nucleolar RNA SNORD17". It matches the Rfam family "Small nucleolar RNA SNORD17". From Rfam's summary of the family: The snoRNA HBI-43 belongs to the C/D family of snoRNAs, guiding 2'O-ribose methylation at position U3797 of the 28S rRNA. Pseudouridylation in position U3797 is predicted to be guided by the H/ACA snoRNA ACA48. Lineage: Eukaryota; Metazoa; Chordata; Aves; Tinamiformes; Tinamidae. The record is from Rfam by way of RNAcentral.
GUGAGGUGAUGAUGAAGUUUAUCCAUUCUCUGAGUGCAGCGACGCUGCCCUCCUGCAGCACCCUGGUUCCUGUUCUAGGGGCCGGGUGCUGUGCGGCCUCCAGAGACCCUGCAGUGUCCCAGUGUCCUGCUGGGGGCUGCUGUGGCCUGUGGCCGGGCAGGAGGGGGGUGUCCUGGCAGGGCUGGAGCCCCCUCCGUGGGGGCUGCAUCCCCACCGAGACGAGGGAUGCUGUCUGAUCAC